UACGGAGGGUGCAAACGUUGCUCGGAAUUAUUGGGCGUAAAGCGCACGUAGGCGGACCAGCAAGUCGGAUGUGAAAUCCCUCGGCUUAACCGAGGACGUGCAUCGGAAACUGCUGGCCUUGAGUACGAAAGAGGAUCGCGGAAUUCCCGGUGUAGAGGUGAAAUUCGUAGAUAUCGGGAGGAACACCAGUGGCGAAGGCGGCGAUCUGGGUCGAUACUGACGCUGAGGUGCGAAAGCGUGGGGAGCAAACAGG
RNAcentral lists this ribosomal RNA (253 nucleotides) under uncultured bacterium. RNAcentral's name for it is "partial 16S ribosomal RNA". It matches the Rfam family "Bacterial small subunit ribosomal RNA", at positions 524 to 776 of the family's 1533-position model. The record is from RNAcentral.